GCGGAUAUGGCGGAAUUGGCAGACGCGCUAGAUUUAGGUUCUAGUGGGAAUAUCCGUGCAGGUUCAACUCCUGUUAUCCGCA
This 82-nucleotide transfer RNA is filed under the name Lachnospiraceae bacterium RM5. It matches the Rfam family "tRNA". Rfam says of the family: Transfer RNA (tRNA) molecules are approximately 80 nucleotides in length. The record is from Rfam by way of RNAcentral. Lineage: Bacteria; Bacillati; Bacillota; Clostridia; Lachnospirales; Lachnospiraceae.